GAUGAACGCUGACAGAAUGCUUAACACAUGCAAGUCAACUUGAAUUUGGGUUUUUAACUUAGGUUUGGGUGGCGGACGGGUGAGUAACGCGUAAAGAACUUGCCUCACAGCUAGGGACAACAUUUGGAAACGAAUGCUAAUACCUAAUAUUAUGAUAAUAGGGCCUCCUAUAAUUAUGAAAGCUAUAAGCGCUGUGAGAGAGCUUUGCGUCCCAUUAGCUAGUUGGAGAGGUAACGGCUCACCAAGGCGAUGAUGGGUAGCCGGCCUGAGAGGGUGAUCGGCCAAAAGGGGACUGAGACACGGCCCUUACUCCUACGGGAGGCAGCAGUGGGGAAUAUUGGACAAUGGACCGAGAGUCUGAUCCAGCAAUUCUGUGUGCACGAUGAAGUUUUUCGGAAUGUAAAGUGCUUUCAGUUGGGAAGAAACAAAUGACGGUACCAACAGAAGAAGUGACGGCUAAAUACGUG
This 467-nucleotide ribosomal RNA is filed under the name uncultured bacterium. RNAcentral describes it as "partial 16S ribosomal RNA". It matches the Rfam family "Bacterial small subunit ribosomal RNA", at positions 28 to 507 of the family's 1533-position model. The record is from RNAcentral.